This is an RNA transcript of Ochotona curzoniae (black-lipped pika), 6075 nucleotides long. It is a transcript of the gene named serine/threonine-protein kinase PRP4 homolog, with no coding region annotated. The transcript has 17 exons. NCBI's taxonomy places the organism in Eukaryota, Metazoa, Chordata, Mammalia, Lagomorpha, Ochotonidae. The record is from RefSeq and is a predicted model, not a curated record.
UCGUCCCCCGCCUGACUCGCUCUCCGCCGUCCGGGGCGCCGCGGCCGAGUCAGGAAGUUCAAGAUGGCGGCCGCGGAGGCUCCGGCGCUGCGGGACCAGCCCGAGAUGGAGGAUGCUGAUAAUUCUGAAAAGAGUGUAAAUGAAGAAAAUGGAGAAGUAUCAGAAGACCAAUCCCAAAAUAAACACAGUCGGCAUAAAAAAAAGAAGCAUAAACACAGAAGUAAACACAAGAAGCAUAAACACUGCUCGGAGGACGACAACAAGGACAGAAAGCACCGGCACAGGCGCAAGCACAAGAAGCACAAGCGGAGGGAGGCGGCCGACGCCUCGGACAGGGAGGGCCUGUCUCCGGCCAAGCGAACCAAGCUGGACGACCUGGCUCUGCUGGAAGACCUGGAGAAGCAGCGGGCCUUGAUCAAAGCCGAGCUGGAUAACGAGUUGCUGGAGGGGAAGGUGCAGUCGGGGAUGGGGCUCAUCCUGCAGGGCUAUGAGUCUGGCUCCGAAGAGGAGGGCGAGAUUCACGAAAAGGUGAGGAACGGGAACAGGUCUAGUACCAGAUCUUCAAGUACAAAGGGGAAACUUGAACUUGGGGACAAUAAAAACAGUACAAAAAAACGAAGUAAAAGCAGAUCCAAAGAACGGACUAGACACAGGUCGGACAAAAAGAAAAGUAAGACAGGGAUGGAAGUGGUUAAGGACAAAGCGGCAAGGAGCAAGUCAAAAGAAAGGAAAAAGUCCAAAAGUCCUUGCAGAGGGGGCAAGGCUCAGGACCUGGCCAGGAAGUCGCGCUCUCCCCCCCUGCGAAGGCGGUCUCAGGAGAAAAGUGGCAAGGCCAGAUCGCCUCCCGAAGAGAAGCUGAAACUUGAAGACAGAAACAAAUCAAAAGACAGGAAAAAAUCCCCAGUGUUAAAUGAGAGGAGUCGUGAUCGGGGUAAAAGGUCCCGGUCCCCAGUUGACUUCCGAGAUAAAUCCAAAGACAGAAGGUCAAGGUCCAAAGAGAGAAAAGCAAGGCGUUCUGAGACGGACAAAGAGAAGAAGCCAAUCAAAUCGCCCUCUAAGGACGCCUCUUCCGGCAAGGAGAACAGGUCACCCGGCAGGAGGCCUGGUCGCAGUCCCAAAAGAAGGAGUUUGUCCCCGAGACUGCGGGAUAGAUCGAGGAGAAGCAGGUCUCCGCUCACCGCCGACAGGGGGUCCAAGCACAGCAAGUCCCCCUCGCGCACCCUGUCCCCCGGGAGGAGAGCGCGCAGCCGGUCCCUGGACAGGAAGCGGAGAGAACCCGACCGGAGGCGGCUGUCUUCUCCCAGGACACGCCCACGAGAUGAUGUCCUCAGUAGACGGGAGAGAUCCAAGGAUGUCAGCCCCAUCAACAGAUGGUCCCCGACGCGAAGGAGAAGCAGGUCUCCCAUCAGAAGGCGGUCUCGCUCCCCACUGCGGCGCAGUAGGUCUCCAAGAAGAAGAAGCAGGUCCCCACGGAGAAGGGACAGAGGCCGGAGGAGCAGGUCACGCCUGAGAAGGAGGUCCCGGUCACGUGGUGGCCGCAGGCGGAGGAGCCGAAGCAAAGUGAAGGAAGAUAAAUUUAAAGGAAGCCUUUCCGAAGGAAUGAAAGCUGAGCAGGAGUCGUCAUCUGAUGACAACCUAGAAGAUUUUGACGUGGAAGAAGAAGAUGAAGAAGCGCUGAUCGAGCAGCGAAGGAUACAGAGGCAGGCCAUCGUUCAGAAAUACAAGUACCUUGCCGAAGACAGCAACAUGUCCGUCCCGUCUGAGCCAAGCAGCCCCCAGAGCAGUACUCGGUCGCGGUCCCCGUCUCCUGAUGACAUCCUUGAGCGAGUCGCGGCCGAUGUCAAGGAGUAUGAGCGGGAGAACGUGGAUACUUUUGAGGCCUCCGUGAAGGCCAAGCAUAAUCUAAUGACUGUUGAGCAGAAUAAUGGGUCGUCUCAGAAGAAGCUCUUGGCACCUGAUAUGUUUACAGAAUCUGAUGAUAUGUUUGCUGCGUACUUCGAUAGCGCUCGUCUUCGUGCUGCUGGCAUUGGCAAGGACUUCAAAGAGAAUCCCAACCUUCGCGAUAACUGGACUGAUGCCGAAGGCUAUUACCGUGUGAACAUAGGUGAGGUGCUGGAUAAGCGUUACAACGUGUAUGGCUACACUGGGCAAGGGGUGUUCAGUAACGUGGUGCGAGCCCGGGAUAAUGCAAGAGCCAACCAGGAAGUGGCUGUCAAAAUCAUCAGAAACAACGAGCUCAUGCAGAAGACUGGUUUGAAAGAACUAGAGUUUUUGAAAAAACUUAAUGAUGCUGAUCCUGACGACAAAUUUCACUGUCUGCGGCUCUUCCGGCACUUCUACCACAAGCAGCACCUGUGCCUCGUGUUUGAGCCCCUCAGUAUGAAUUUACGAGAGGUGUUGAAAAAAUAUGGUAAAGAUGUUGGUCUUCAUAUCAAAGCCGUAAGAUCAUACAGUCAGCAGUUGUUCCUGGCCUUGAAACUCCUUAAAAGGUGUAACAUUCUCCAUGCUGACAUCAAGCCGGACAACAUCCUGGUUAAUGAAUCAAAAACAAUUUUAAAGCUUUGUGAUUUUGGGUCGGCUUCCCAUGUUGCGGAUAAUGACAUAACGCCUUACCUUGUCAGUAGAUUUUAUCGUGCUCCUGAAAUCAUUAUAGGUAAAAGCUAUGACUAUGGUAUAGACAUGUGGUCUGUAGGAUGUACCUUGUACGAACUCUAUACUGGAAAAAUUUUAUUUCCUGGCAAAACCAAUAAUCAUAUGCUGAAGCUUGCUAUGGAUCUUAAAGGAAAGAUGCCGAAUAAGAUGAUACGGAAAGGAGUAUUCAAAGAUCAGCAUUUCGAUCAGAAUCUCAACUUCAUGUACAUAGAAGUGGAUAAAGUUACAGAGAGGGAGAAAGUUACUGUCAUGAGUACCAUUAAUCCAACUAAGGACCUGCUGGCCGAUUUGAUUGGGUGCCAGCGGCUUCCUGAAGACCAGCGUAAGAAGGUGCACCAGCUGAAGGACUUGUUGGAUCAGAUCCUCAUGCUGGACCCCGCGAAGCGGAUUAGCAUCAACCAGGCGCUACAGCAUGCCUUCAUCCAGGAGAAGAUUUAAACGAGAUGAAGAAACUCCACGGGUUUGAGUAACUAAAUACAAAGACUGAAGAAAUUUCACAGCAGUUUAUUAAUGUAUAUAAACUUAUAAAUAUUUCUCCAGCAAAUUUGAGGAAGCAUGAUAUAUUUGAAUUAACUCCAAGGGUGAUAUUUCUCUUAGCAAUGUUAGCUAAUCUGUUUUGUGUCUUAUGUGAAAUUUCACUGUAGAACUGUUUUAUUGCCAAGACUGCACAGAGUCCCAGUGCUAAUGUACAUGGUUGCAGUUCACAUAGAGACGGAGCCAUCUGUUCUGACGAGUAGUGAUGCUGGGUGGUCUGGAGAUAAAGCGGCCAGCGUAAAUGCUGUUUAUAUUCACGUUUUCCUAGGUGUGUGUGCAGGCCACAGCAGCAUGCCCUUGGGGUAGUCAGUGCCGAAGGGGCCUGUGCCUCCGAGCCUGCCGAGGGAUGCUGUCCUCUUAGGGAGCAGGUUGUGUGCGUCAGUCAGUACACUGAAGGCGUAACCCUCCCACUCUUGAACAAAGCAGCUGCUUUUUAAAAGCGAGAAAAAGGAAAACGGGCCACAGGCCAUCCCACGCCUUCUGCAAGGGGUCUGAUUUGCUGAGACACCAGCUUCACCUCCUUACCAAGGUUAUUUCUGACAGCAUGUGUAGAUAAACACUUAGCAGCGUCAUGUAAAUCAGCUUGGUUUGGCAACGCAGAAGAAUUUAUAUUCUUAACAUAACGGUGAAUUUUCAAAAGUGUAUGUAAUUCUGUUUUGGGGGUAAAAUUAAUGGUUGUCUCCCUGAGGAAUAUGAAAAGCUAUCAGAUUUUAAGGGCUUAAAAUAAGUGGUUUUUGGUUUUUUUUGUUUUUUUGUUUUUUUUGUUUUAAUUGUAAAUGGGAUUUUUUUUUUCACCCAGGAACCUAAUUACAGGAAGUAUGCACAUUUUGGUGCAUUCAAGAAUGGAAAAUCAGAAUAGCACUUUGCUGCUGGUGGGUUUGCUUCCUUUAAAGACAUGAAAGUACCCCACGGAGGUGACAGGAUGAGCCAGCUCUGAGCCCGCGCCCUGUCUCCUGAUGCCUUAGGCGUGGAGAGCCAAGCGCAGGCGGUGUCUCGGGUGGACUAGGGCCUGAUGACGAAGGCGCCACAGGGGCAGCUCUCCCACCUCAUCACCCGCACAGCGAUCGCCCACCAGAAUUUUGGUGAUCGUAUGCUGCAUAGUCAAAAGUCUUUUUUCCCCCCAUCUGAAAUAGUUAGCAUUUUAGUGCUUCUGGCAAUUUUUUUUUAAAACUUCAGUUUAUAGAAUUACUUAAGUAACGUAAUUUUCACUAGAGACAGUUCAUCUUAUACCUUCAAAACUGUUACCUAUUCUUUAAAAAACAAAGUUGCUUGUUACUUGUUCUUUGUGUUUUAGGUGCAGCUCAGUGGAAGAUGAUGACCACCAGAAGACAUGAGCUAAGGUUUCUGUCCUAUGAAAGAUUUUAAAAAGCAAAAAAGAGAUCUCUCCAUUAGUUCUUGUGUAAUUCUUUGAGUUUUCAGCAUUGUGAUUUGGGUUUCAUGAGUGCUUGGUACUAGAGUAGUAGUGCUGUUGUGUCCAUCUGUCAGUGCUUGUCCAGUCAUAACCUCUGCCUCCCCCCACUCGCCCACAAAUCCAAGCAGUGAGCGCAUCCCUGGCUGGUGAGAGCCCGCGUGACAGACACCUGCCCUCGAGUCUGCCCCUGGAGAUGAGCCACGGUCGGCUUAGGCAGGGACGGUCGGCUUAGGCAGGGAUGGAGGCUUGGGUGGUGAGAGAGCAGUCAGUCACUUGUGCAGCACUCUGUCAGCCUUGGCCUUAACAAGUGUAGCAGUCAUGAUCUGGAAAUAGAAGAUUCAGAGCCAUUUGCAGUUGUUUGUAAUAGAAAGGAGAAAGGUGUUGCUAUUUUUUUUUUAUUCCCAAAUUGGGCAUUUCUAGGAGCCCUGCAAUCAUGACUUACACAGAUGCAGGGUUUUUGAUUGGGGUUUGCCAUCUUGCCAAGGUGGAAGUUGGAGUUCCACGGGCCCUCCAGCAGACGGAGGCCUUGAGUGAGCCUUCGUGACUGACUGCGUUCUUUGAGAACGCUCUGUGGUUUUAGCUGUGUGGCAGAAAACGAGUCCAAGUGAUCGUGACUGCUUGCUGCAGUAACAGUGCAGGCACAGCUGUCGGGGAUGUGGCCGCUGGGGCUGGGGGAGGCCUGAGAUCUGGACCAGCAGGCGUAGGCUGGAUUCCUGAGGAGCAUCAGAAAUGGGCCUGCAAUGGUGAAGUUGUUCAGCAAGGUGGGAGCUCCUGCUUUGUAGUCACCGUUAGAGCCUUAUCAGUAACAUCCUUCGUGAUUAACAAAACACUUGACUCUUUUAUAGUACACAAUAUUUGUUCUUUCAUGUGUGUGAUAUAGACAGAUGUCUGGUUCCUUAUUUCUCACCCCUCCCCCCCCCCCCAUCUGUUUACCUUUUAUCAUUUGUAGACAGAGAUCUGCCUGUGCCGCAGAGGGACAUCUCUGUGUUCAAAUUUAGGCCCAGCAGCUCAGGCCUGCCCUUCCAGCUGCCAGGCUAGGAAGGCAGCCUUACAUGUCAGCGUAUGGUCCCCUCCUUAGGCUCUGCUGAUGGGAGCAGUUGGGUUGAAUCAGUGUGUCUCUUUCCUGAUAGUAUGCUAGUUUCAGCAUUUAUUGAACAGGAACUUUGUCAUUCUGCUAGAUGGCUAGGCUUCCUUAAGAAUGUCACAAGCUCAUCUGUGUUUUACAUGUCAAUCUGAUGUACACUAACUUAAGAGCAUUCUCCAGUUUUGAUUGCUAGAUCCUGUGGCAUCCUUAAUUUUUCUCUUCCUUCUGUGUUAGGGUAAGGGACUGUUGAAGAACCUUUCCACUUAGUGGUCAAGAUGUGGACGCUGCCGUGGUAUCCUGUGUGUUCAUAGUAUCAUUGGAACUGUAACUAGAAUUUCAACAACACAUGUUCCCCCAAACCUUUGAGAAACUUAAUAAAACACGCCUCUAGUCA